CUCGUCCUACGGGACGCAGCAGUAGGGAAUCUUCGGCAAUGGGGGCAACCCUGACCGAGCAACGCCGCGUGAGUGAAGAAGGUUUUGGGAUCGAAAAGCUCUGUUGUAAGAGAAGAACGUGUGUGAGAGUGGAAAGUUCACACAGUGACGGGAACUUACCAGAAAGGGACGGCUAACUACGUGCCAGCAGCCGUGGUAAUACGUAGGUCCCGAGCGUUAUCCGGAUUUAUUGGGCGUAAAGCGAGCGCAGGCGGUU
This 256-nucleotide ribosomal RNA is filed under the name uncultured bacterium. RNAcentral's name for it is "partial 16S ribosomal RNA". It matches the Rfam family "Bacterial small subunit ribosomal RNA", at positions 333 to 580 of the family's 1533-position model. The record is from RNAcentral.